This 46-nucleotide transfer RNA is filed under the name Cnemaspis chanthaburiensis. Its description in RNAcentral is "partial tRNA-Cys". The record is from RNAcentral. Lineage: Eukaryota; Metazoa; Chordata; Lepidosauria; Squamata; Gekkonidae.
AAGGUGCCGGGGCUUCUCCCGUUUUUUCCCCCCACAACGGGAAAAG